AGCUCAGUUGGUAGAGCACUUGUCUUGCAUGCACAAGGCCCUGGGUUCAAUCCCCAG
This 57-nucleotide transfer RNA is filed under the name Urocitellus parryii (Arctic ground squirrel). RNAcentral describes it as "Spermophilus parryii (Arctic ground squirrel) tRNA". It matches the Rfam family "tRNA", at positions 9 to 63 of the family's 71-position model. Rfam says of the family: Transfer RNA (tRNA) molecules are approximately 80 nucleotides in length. Their secondary structure includes four short double-helical elements and three loops (D, anti-codon, and T loops). Further hydrogen bonds mediate the characteristic L-shaped molecular structure. tRNAs have two regions of fundamental functional importance: the anti-codon, which is responsible for specific mRNA codon recognition, and the 3' end, to which the tRNAs corresponding amino acid is attached (by aminoacyl-tRNA synthetases). tRNAs cope with the degeneracy of the genetic code in two manners: having more than one tRNA (with a specific anti-codon) for a particular amino acid; and 'wobble' base-pairing, i.e. permitting non-standard base-pairing at the 3rd anti-codon position. The record is from Rfam by way of RNAcentral. RNAcentral also lists the same sequence under 2 other names. Lineage: Eukaryota; Metazoa; Chordata; Mammalia; Rodentia; Sciuridae.